RNAcentral lists this ribosomal RNA (253 nucleotides) under uncultured bacterium. RNAcentral describes it as "partial 16S ribosomal RNA". It matches the Rfam family "Bacterial small subunit ribosomal RNA", at positions 524 to 776 of the family's 1533-position model. The record is from RNAcentral.
UACGUAGGAUGCGAGCGUUGUCCGGAAUUAUUGGGCGUAAAGAGAACGUAGGCGGUUUGUUAAGUUUGGGCUUAAAGACUGGGGCUCAACCCCAGGAGUGGCUCGAAAACUGACAGACUAGAGGAUGGCAGAGGAAAGUGGAAUUCCCAGUGUAGCGGUGAAAUGCGUAGAUAUCGGGAGGAACACCAGUGGCGAAGGCGACUACCUGGCCUGUUCUUGACGCUGAGGCGCGAAAGCUAGGGGAGCAAACGGG